CCUACGGGUGGCAGCAGUGAGGAAUAUUGGUCAAUGGACGAGAGUCUGCACCAGCCAAGUAGCGUGAAGGAUGACUGCCCUAUGGGUUGUAAACUUCUUUUAUAUGGGAAUAAAACGUUCCACGUGUGGGAUUUUGUAUGUACCAUAUGAAUAAGGAUCGGCUAACUCCGUGCCAGCAGCCGCGGUAAUACGGAGGAUCCGAGCGUUAUCCGGAUUUAUUGGGUUUAAAGGGAGCGUAGGUGGAUUGUUAAGUCAGUUGUGAAAGUUUGCGGCUCAACCGUAAAAUUGCAGUUGAAACUGGCAGUCUUGAGUACAGUAGAGGUGAGCGGAAUUCGUGGUGUAGCGGUGAAAUGCGUAGAUAUCAGGAGGAACACCGGCGGCGAAGGCGGCUUACUGGACUGUAACUGACGUUGAGGCUCGAAGGCGUGGGGAGCAAACAGGAUUAGAUACCCUGGUAGUC
RNAcentral lists this ribosomal RNA (460 nucleotides) under uncultured bacterium. Its description in RNAcentral is "partial 16S ribosomal RNA". It matches the Rfam family "Bacterial small subunit ribosomal RNA", at positions 338 to 795 of the family's 1533-position model. The record is from RNAcentral.